UACGAAGGGGGCUAGCGUUGUUCGGAAUUACUGGGCGUAAAGCGCACGUAGGCGGAUUGUUAAGUUAGGGGUGAAAUCCCAGGGCUCAACCCUUGAACUGCCUUUAAUACUGGCAAUCUCGAGUCCGAGAGAGGUGAGUGGAAUUCCGAGUGUAGAGGUGAAAUUCGUAGAUAUUCGGAGGAACACCAGUGGCGAAGGCGGCUCGCUGGCUCGGUACUGACGCUGAGGUGCGAAAGCGUGGGGAGCAAACAGG
This 253-nucleotide ribosomal RNA is filed under the name uncultured bacterium. Its description in RNAcentral is "partial 16S ribosomal RNA". It matches the Rfam family "Bacterial small subunit ribosomal RNA", at positions 524 to 776 of the family's 1533-position model. The record is from RNAcentral.